This 302-nucleotide ribosomal RNA is filed under the name uncultured bacterium. Its description in RNAcentral is "partial 16S ribosomal RNA". It matches the Rfam family "Bacterial small subunit ribosomal RNA", at positions 508 to 807 of the family's 1533-position model. The record is from RNAcentral.
GCAGCAGCCGCGGUAAUACCGAGGGUGCGAGCGUUAAUCGGAUUUACUGGGCGUAAAGCGUGCGUAGGCGGCUUCUUAAGUCGGAUGUGAAAUCCCUGAGCUUAACUUAGGAAUUGCAUUCGAUACUGGGAAGCUAGAGUAUGGGAGAGGAUGGUAGAAUUCCAGGUGUAGCGGUGAAAUGCGUAGAGAUCUGGAGGAAUACCGAUGGCGAAGGCAGCCAUCUGGCCUAAUACUGACGCUGAGGUACGAAAGCAUGGGGAGCAAACAGGAUUAGAUACCCGUGUAGUCCCUGUCUCUUAUAC